AUGCUCUUCACGUGCAAGCCCACCCCCGCGCACGCCGGCCCGAAACCUGCCUCCAGAUCUUCUCCAUCGAGGUCACGGAGCUCAGCGGGGGCCUCCAGUGGCCGCUGGAGGUCUACGGCCUGGUCGCCACCCGAGACUCGGUGGAUCAUAAUCGCAACGUCAUCUUCAGGCGCAGGAGGGACACCUUCCUAA
This 192-nucleotide ribosomal RNA is filed under the name Triticum aestivum (bread wheat). Its description in RNAcentral is "partial small subunit ribosomal RNA". The record is from RNAcentral. Lineage: Eukaryota; Viridiplantae; Streptophyta; Magnoliopsida; Poales; Poaceae.